UACAGAGGGCUCAAGCGUUGUUCGGAUUCAUUGGGCGUAAAGGGUGCGUAGGCGGCGUGGUAAGUCGGGUGUGAAAUCUCGGAGCUUAACUCCGAAACUGCAUUCGAUACUGCCGUGCUUGAGGACUGGAGAGGAGACUGGAAUUUACGGUGUAGCGGUGAAAUGCGUAGAUAUCGUAAGGAAGACCAGUGGCGAAGGCGGGUCUCUGGACAGUUCCUGACGCUGAGGCACGAAGGCCAGGGGAGCAAACGGG
Molecule: ribosomal RNA, 253 nt
Filed under: uncultured bacterium
Lineage: Bacteria
Description: partial 16S ribosomal RNA
Rfam family: Bacterial small subunit ribosomal RNA
Source: RNAcentral